CCCUGGCAACCACUGAUCCUGUCACUGUCUCCGUAGUUUUGCCUUUUCCAGAAUAUCACGUAUUUGAAAGCAUACAGCAAGUGGCCUUUUCAAAUUGGCCUCUUUCAGUUAGAGAGAUACAGUCAGUGACCCCCGUGGAUUUUCAUGGCUUGAGAGCUCAUUCUUUUUACUGCUGCACAACGUUCCGUUGUCUGCAUGGAUCACAGUUACUGAUCUAUCACCUACCGAAGGCCAUCUCGGUUGCCUCCAAGUUGUAGUAAUUACUAAUAAAGCUGCUAUACAUAUCCCUGUGCAGUUUUCGUGUGAAUAUAGUCUCUAACUCCUUUGGAUGAAAACCAAAGAGUGAAAUGGCUGCAUCCUAAGGUCUUGGAUCCCUUCUGAGUUAAUCUGUGUGAAGACUGUGAGGUCCGUGUCCGGACUUACGGUGCUGCAUGUGGCUGUCCAGUUGUCCCGACACCUAAGCCUUCCCCCACUGACCUUGAGAUAGCGUGCGCCCCGCCCUGCCAAGCUCUCUGCCUGCACCUGCCCUGACUCUCCACGCGGCCCCUUGAUGUGCGCUGUGCGUCUCCUCUGGGACCCGCGAGGGAUAAACUUCUCUGUCUCACUCGCCUCCUGGUCUUCUGUGAACCACAGCUCACCAUCUGAAACACCAGGAUUCUACUUUAGAAAUGUUAAUUUAACCAAGUCACAACUGGUACAUAAGCAUACCUCACCAUACACCUUGCUGGUAUUAUUAUUUUGAACAAACUGUUAGGCAUUAGAGCAACUGAGAAUAAAAAAAGUCAAAGUUUUUAUUUUA
Long non-coding RNA from Suricata suricatta (meerkat), 799 nucleotides. RefSeq lists it as uncharacterized. The transcript has 2 exons. Lineage: Eukaryota; Metazoa; Chordata; Mammalia; Carnivora; Herpestidae. The record is from RefSeq and is a predicted model, not a curated record.